GGGGGUAUAGCUCAGUGAUAGAGUGCUUGCCUGGUAUGCACAAGGUCCUGUGUUUGAUCCUCAGUACCACACA
Molecule: transfer RNA, 73 nt
Filed under: Marmota monax (woodchuck)
Lineage: Eukaryota; Metazoa; Chordata; Mammalia; Rodentia; Sciuridae
Description: tRNA.Thr
Rfam family: tRNA
About the family: Transfer RNA (tRNA) molecules are approximately 80 nucleotides in length. Their secondary structure includes four short double-helical elements and three loops (D, anti-codon, and T loops). Further hydrogen bonds mediate the characteristic L-shaped molecular structure. tRNAs have two regions of fundamental functional importance: the anti-codon, which is responsible for specific mRNA codon recognition, and the 3' end, to which the tRNAs corresponding amino acid is attached (by aminoacyl-tRNA synthetases). tRNAs cope with the degeneracy of the genetic code in two manners: having more than one tRNA (with a specific anti-codon) for a particular amino acid; and 'wobble' base-pairing, i.e. permitting non-standard base-pairing at the 3rd anti-codon position.
Source: RNAcentral